AUGGGAGAAGACCAAGAAGACGGCUGUCCAAGCCAAGGUCCGAACACGGGAGGAGAAGCUGGAGAAGAAGAAGGCGGAGUACGCGGAGAAGAUGCGGAACCGUAUCGCGAUGAUCCACAAGGAGGAGCAGAGGGGCAGAGGGCCGCCGUGGAGGCGAGGCGGCAGGAGGAGAUGAUCAAGUACCAGGAGAUGGCCACUGCACUUAUCCGUAUGUGGUCGAUACUCACUCCAACGGAGGCCAGGGAGCAUUUGGUUACUAGAUCUAUCCGAUGGGAGACGGUAGCUCGGGAUUUAUUCAACCGGUUUGAAUGA
This 312-nucleotide ribosomal RNA is filed under the name Triticum aestivum (bread wheat). RNAcentral describes it as "partial small subunit ribosomal RNA". The record is from RNAcentral. Lineage: Eukaryota; Viridiplantae; Streptophyta; Magnoliopsida; Poales; Poaceae.